CCACUUAAUAUCUUAAUUUAAUUGGAGUAGCUUGGGUUUGCAUGCAUCCAGUGUUCCAUGAAAUGAGCCAUGUAAAAACCUAGGAAUUGGUUCACUCACAUCAAAUCUUGCAUGAAAUCUUAUUCUCAAGAGUACAAUGUUACCGUUCAUGCGUUAUGAUAAGGCCAGGAUAUAUGGAUAAUUUGGUAAGCUCGAUCCAAUAAAUCUCUUCAUAAAGAUUGACAUAA
This 227-nucleotide long non-coding RNA is filed under the name Elaeis guineensis (African oil palm). RNAcentral describes it as "long non-coding RNA (EGUI_LNC045722)". The record is from RNAcentral. Lineage: Eukaryota; Viridiplantae; Streptophyta; Magnoliopsida; Arecales; Arecaceae.